This is a long non-coding RNA of Brachypodium distachyon (stiff brome), 706 nucleotides long. RefSeq lists it as uncharacterized. NCBI's taxonomy places the organism in Eukaryota, Viridiplantae, Streptophyta, Magnoliopsida, Poales, Poaceae. The transcript has 4 exons. The record is from RefSeq and is a predicted model, not a curated record.
CACCUGUUCUGAUCUGAAGCUUUAAGAAAGACAACAGUACCGUACUACUUUUGUUAAAAUAUUAUCCUGAAAUAAAACUAGACUGUUGUCAUGUAGCUUCCCAAUUCAUAUUUCUAUGGCGUGCCUUCAACUUCAGCACCACUGCACAGUAGCGGCCCGUUGACUCCUCGGCCACGCGGAAUCGGCUGCGCUCACCCACGGCAGCAAACUCAAGAACAGAUUGGUCAGCAAGACGAUCAUGGGAUUACUGCUAGCAGCCUAGCAUGGUACAUGAAUUUGGUUUCCCAUUUGGACAGCAGGUGGUAGGAUCAAAAUAUUGGCAGGUAUCCUUGACCGGGAGUGAUAUGAUUGUGAGGGGUAACUUGUCCAACAAAUAUCUAAUCCUGAUGGCUUUGCGUGGUUCUGCUGCAACAAAAUGGGAGUCUCUGCUUGGUGAUGAGGAGGAUGUCAUUGAGGUAGAAAUAGUCACCCGAUUUUCAAUUCGAUAGAAUAGUACACGAUGCGAAAGCUGGAUGGUGUUCAGCCUUGGUUCAGGAGUGAUAUGGUCAACAGACAAAUCUUGGAAAGCUACUCUGAUGUCAGGUGAACGGCACGCAGUUUUUUCUCUUAUAAUUUUCAGGGGUAUUCUUGCAAUAUCCUUUUGUGCGAUUGUGCUACAUAUUCUUCCUAUUUCUGUUUCCUUUUAAUGGAAAUCCUAAAUCUGUCU